This 376-nucleotide ribosomal RNA is filed under the name uncultured eukaryote. RNAcentral's name for it is "partial 18S ribosomal RNA". It matches the Rfam family "Eukaryotic small subunit ribosomal RNA", at positions 592 to 976 of the family's 1831-position model. The record is from RNAcentral.
CAAGAGCGUAUAUUAAAGUUGCUGCGGUUAAAAAGCUCGUAGUUGGAUUUCAGUCUAGGAAGGUUAACUCGCCGAAAGGUUGUACGUUGACUUUCCUCAGACUUCGUCAGAAGCUCGUGCUGCACUUAACUGUGUGGUACGAUGUUCUGACCUUUUACCUUGAGGAAAGUAGAGUGUUUCAGGCAGGCUACCCAGCUUGAAUACAUUAGCAUGGAAUAAUGAAAUGGAUCUCGGUUCGAUUUCGUUGGUUCUAGAGCUGAGGUGAUGAUCAAUAGGAACAGGCGUAGGUAUUCGUACUUGAGAGUGAGGAGUGAAAUCCGGUGAUCUCUUAAAGACGAUCCGAGGCGAAAGCAUUUGUCAAGGAUGUUUUCAUUGA